RNAcentral lists this transfer RNA (76 nucleotides) under Elusimicrobia bacterium GWA2_66_18. RNAcentral's name for it is "tRNA-Ala". It matches the Rfam family "tRNA". From Rfam's summary of the family: Transfer RNA (tRNA) molecules are approximately 80 nucleotides in length. Their secondary structure includes four short double-helical elements and three loops (D, anti-codon, and T loops). Lineage: Bacteria; Pseudomonadati; Elusimicrobiota. RNAcentral also lists the same sequence under 5 other names. The record is from RNAcentral.
GGGCCUGUAGCUCAGCUGGGAGAGCGCCUGCAUGGCAUGCAGGAGGUCAGCGGUUCGAUCCCGCUCAGGUCCACCA